RNAcentral lists this ribosomal RNA (979 nucleotides) under uncultured bacterium. Its description in RNAcentral is "bacterial SSU rRNA". It matches the Rfam family "Bacterial small subunit ribosomal RNA", at positions 464 to 1450 of the family's 1533-position model. The record is from RNAcentral.
GAGAUUUGACGGUACUUGAGGAAUAGCACGGCUAUUCCGUGCAGCAGCGCGUAUACGGGAGUGGCAAGCGUUAUCCGGAAUUUUGGGCGUAAAGCGUCCGCAGGCGGCUUUUCAAGUCUGCUGUUAAAGCGUGGAGCUUAACUCCAUCAUGGCAGUGGAAACUGAAAGGCUUGAGUAUGGUAGGGGCAGAGGGAAUUCCCGGUGUAGCGGUGAAAUGCGUAGAUAUCGGGAAGAACACCAGUGGCGAAGGCGCUCUGCUGGGCCAUUACUGACGCUCAUGGACGAAAGCCAGGGGAGCGAAAGGGAUUAGAUACCCCUGUAGUCCUGGCCGUAAACGAUGAACACUAGGUGUCGGGGGAAUCGACCCCUUCGGUGUCGUAGCUAACGCGUUAAGUGUUCCGCCUGGGGAGUACGCACGCAAGUGUGAAACUCAAAGGAAUUGACGGGGGCCCGCACAAGCGGUGGAGUAUGUGGUUUAAUUCGAUGCAACGCGAAGAACCUUACCAGGGUUUGACAUCCUGCGAACCUCUUAGAAAUUUGAGGGUGCCUUCGGGAAUGCAGUGACAGGUGGUGCAUGGCUGUCGUCAGCUCGUGUCGUGAGAUGUUGGGUUAAGUCCCGCAACGAGCGCAACCCACGUUUUUAGUUGCCAGCAUUUAGUUGGGCACUCUAGAAAGACCGCCGGUGAUAAACCGGAGGAAGGUGUGGAUGACGUCAAGUCAUCAUGCCCCUUACACCCUGGGCUACACACGUACUACAAUGCUACGGACAAAGGGCAGCAAACUCGCGAGAGCUAGCAAAUCCCAUAAACCGUGGCUCAGUUCAGAUCGUAGGCUGCAACUCGCCUACGUGAAGUAGGAAUCGCUAGUAAUCGCAGGUCAGCAUACUGCGGUGAAUACGUUCCCGGGCCUUGUACACACCGCCCGUCACACCAUGGAAGUUGGCCAUGCCCGAAGUCGUUACUCCAACCCUUGUGGAAGG